Molecule: long non-coding RNA, 2419 nt
Organism: Vespula pensylvanica (western yellowjacket)
Lineage: Eukaryota; Metazoa; Arthropoda; Insecta; Hymenoptera; Vespidae
Exons: 2
Source: RefSeq, a predicted model, not a curated record
GAGAGAGAGAGAGAGAAUGAGAGAGGGACGGAAGAGGGGAACUGAGAGCCAAUCCGGCGAAGCGACUCGUAUUGCAAAUUGGGUUAAAUCUGAAAUCUUGGUAGUCCUGUUCAUCCUCUCCCUGCCUUCCGACCCGAACAGCGAAUCGGUAGAACGAGCGAGCCAUCGAUUAUUCGUGCGUGUGCGGUUGGCUCUUUGAAGCGUAGAGAAGCCUGAACCGAGGUCAGGGCUGACUUGAAAAAAAUAACGUCUACCCCGAUGAAACCCUCGAAUUCGGUUUAUCGUUCGUUCCAAGAGAAAGGAUCGUUUGCUUUCUACGUUGUUUGAUUCGGUGGUGGCGAACAGGGUGUACGAGAAAGUGCACCCUGUACUAGACAAUUUAUUACGUUUUCCACAGACGUACCUUAGCCGCUGAGAAACAGUAUCGUCCCUUCUGUUUACGAGAAUACCCUCGUCCAGUGUUUACGGUUGCCGUACGCUCACAGAUACUAUACUUAUCGGCGUGUAAAGCGGUCAAAAAGGUCGCUCGUUGUUGACUAACGAGAGCGACUACUACACGGACGCGAGUAGGUAAUCGUCUAUGAAAUAUUUUCUAGUUUUUGUUGUCCGUCGAACGUUGUCGAAAGUAUAAAAAAAAAAAAAAAAAAAAGGAAAAUAAACCGAUUCGAAAGAGAAUAUUUCUACUUACACGAGAUAAUUCACACAAAACGCGUAUCGUCCCAAGUAUGGUAGAUGUAGAAACGAUCGUGAAAAUAGAAGAGAAAAAGUACAAAAGAUGGCGCGCGUACCGUAGAAAAAGAAAAAGCAGGAAGAGAAGAAGAAAGAAGAGAGAGUAUUUUUCGGAUGGGAUUUAUCUUCCCCCGAUUGUCCGUGAAUUCGAACGACUAAAUCACGCGAAUUUCAUUUCUGUCCGACUCGAGGACAUUACCGUUCGUUUCUACGGUUCUGUGAGCGAGAAACGAUCCCCGGUCCCUUCGUCUCCGGUCAUCGCCGCUGAUAUCGGCCGUUUUUCUUCUCGGCAAACUGCCUUCUCUUCGUUCCGGAGGGACGGUGGCGCAAACCUGGCGGACACUCUUAAUUGCCUUUCCCCGAAAAGCUGCUGGUGCUUCCACCGAAAGCUAAAAAAUUCUUCCCACGCGAUCUCUUAAAGCACUGCGAGAAAAUCCCUUUCCUUUCUUUUAGGAGAACUUAUAUUCCCCUGUACCGUUGACACCGUCGGCUCUCGAGUUCUAUUAAAGUAUACGAUCUUGCUACUCGUGUGUCGAAAUAAAAAGGCAAAGUCAUUUUUUCUUACUUUCAAUCGGCCCCAAAUUAAUGGACUAUUUUUACGGCGCUCGAUAACGUCGUAACCGUCGUUUUUCUUCGUAAAUUACAAACGCGAGUAUGUAGGACGACCUUCUCGUCUUAUUCUUACUUAAAAAUUUCUUUGAUACGAAAUGAAACGUUAAUUAGUUCCAAUACGCUUGGGCUUUAGUAAAAAAUUCUCGGAGAGUUUCUUUUGAAACAGCAGCUCUUUCUCUCUCUUUCGCUCUCGCUCUCGCUCUCGCUCCCUCUUUAUCGAGAAAAGAGUCUGCUCGCUUACGUCGUACGCUCUGUAUCAGAAAAUCUUGGUAAUGCGAUUCCUAACGAAGUCGAUUCAAAGCGAUGGCGUACGUUGUAGGACGUGCGAUUGACAGGAAAUUAGUUCUCGACUAUCAUCGUCAAAUUACGGAAAUCAAUCCGCAUCGCUUGUCAUCGUACGUUCGAUACUACGCAAAUGAGAAUUGGAAAUGAUGAUAGAACAUAGACGCGCACGACACACGGAUUUCAAACGACAAAGUUCCCACAGCGAAGCGAGUCCUGCAAGUAUCGAAUUCUGGAAUCGUCUGUCGUGACUUCCCAACUCGGCGUUCGAUCGACUUGUGUCGAAAGGAUGACAAACUCUACGUAUAUACGUCGGAGGAAAGGUAAACUCGCUAGAGGGAAUAACGAUAUAUCUAUGUACGAAAUAAAGGAAAACAUAAAUAAAGCGUUGCGAUUAUCGUUAUCGUUGUUUCUUUGAAACUUACGUAAAUAAAGAAAGAAACUAACGUAGAAGAAGGACGGGGAAAGAAAAGGACGGAAAAAUCGUGGAGAAACGAGAUCCGGCUUCGUUCUUGGAUAGCGCUGACGAUCGAACGAGGAAAGUGGAACACGCAUAAUGCAUGCCUGUGUAACUUGAUCCUUCUCUAUAGAUAUAAGUCGAUCACGGAGGAUAGCCCCUCGUACACACACCGUCUCGGAGGACGCACACGUAUGAUCCACACGGGCGCGCGCGAGGGAACACGCAAAAUAUACUUUUAAGCGGCCACACGCAUAUUGUACAAGUGAAAGAACGUUGUACCAGGCUCGCGGAUCGAAGUCGGUAAACCUUCCGGUUAAAGUAACAUACAUACAUAUA